AACGAACGCUGGCGGCAUGCCUAACACAUGCAAGUCGAACGAGACCUUCGGGUCUAGUGGCGCACGGGUGCGUAACGCGUGGGAACCUGCCCUUAGGUUCGGAAUAACUCCCCGAAAGGGGUGCUAAUACCGGAUAAUGUCUUCGGACCAAAGAUUUAUCGCCUUUGGAUGGGCCCGCGUUGGAUUAGCUAGUUGGUAGGGUAAAAGCCUACCACGGCGACGAUCCAUAGCUGGUCUGAGAGGAUGAUCAGCCACACUGGAAGUGAGACACGGCCCAGACUCCUACGGGAGGGAGCAGUGGGGAAUAUUGGACAAGGGGCGAAAGCCUGAUCCAGCAAUGCCGCGUGAGUGAUGAAGGCCGUAGGGUUGUAAAGCUCUUUUACCCGGGAUGAUAAUGACAGUACCGGGAGAAUAAGCUCCGGCUAACUCCGUG
This 433-nucleotide ribosomal RNA is filed under the name uncultured bacterium. Its description in RNAcentral is "partial 16S ribosomal RNA". It matches the Rfam family "Bacterial small subunit ribosomal RNA", at positions 29 to 507 of the family's 1533-position model. The record is from RNAcentral.